UGCAGUCGAACGAUGAACCGCUUUCGGGCGGGGAUUAGUGGCGAACGGGUGAGUAACACGUGGGCAAUCUGCCCUGCACUCUGGGACAAGCCCUGGAAACGGGGUCUAAUACCGGAUAUGACSGUCSGCCGCAUGGUGGAUGGUGUAAAGCUCCGGCGGUGCAGGAUGAGCCCGCGGCCUAUCAGCUUGUUGGUGAGGUAGUGGCUCACCAAGGCGACGACGGGUAGCCGGCCUGAGAGGGCGACCGGCCACACUGGGACUGAGACACGGCCCAGACUCCUACGGGAGGCAGCAGUGGGGAAUAUUGCACAAUGGGCGAAAGCCUGAUGCAGCGACGCCGCGUGAGGGAUGACGGCCUUCGGGUUGUAAACCUCUUUCAGCAGGGAAGAAGCGAAAGUGACGGUACCUGCAGAAGAAGCGCCGGCUAACUACGUGCCAGCAGCCGCGGUAAUACGUAGGGCGCAAGCGUUGUCCGGAAUUAUUGGGCGUAAAGAGCUCGUAGGCGGCUUGUCACGUCGGUUGUGAAAGCCCGGGGCUUAACCCCGGGUCUGCAGUCGAUACGGGCAGGCUAGAGUUCGGUAGGGGAGAUCGGAAUUCCUGGUGUAGCGGUGAAAUGCGCAGAUAUCAGGAGGAACACCGGUGGCGAAGGCGGAUCUCUGGGCCGAUACUGACGCUGAGGAGCGAAAGCGUGGGGAGCGAACAGGAUUAGAUACCCUGGUAGUCCACGCCGUAAACGGUGGGCACUAGGUGUGGGCAACAUUCCACGUUGUCCGUGCCGCAGCUAACGCAUUAAGUGCCC
RNAcentral lists this ribosomal RNA (799 nucleotides) under Streptomyces albidoflavus. RNAcentral describes it as "bacterial SSU rRNA". Lineage: Bacteria; Bacillati; Actinomycetota; Actinomycetes; Kitasatosporales; Streptomycetaceae. The record is from RNAcentral.